Molecule: ribosomal RNA, 208 nt
Filed under: Dettopsomyia nigrovittata
Lineage: Eukaryota; Metazoa; Arthropoda; Insecta; Diptera; Drosophilidae
Description: partial 28S ribosomal RNA
Source: RNAcentral
CCCGAAGGUAUCCUGAAUCUUUCGCAUUGUUAAUCAUACAAGUGCAUAUAAUAAACACAAAAAUCAAUGAUAAUCAUGCCAUUAUAUAAUUCCGAAAAAUUAACGCACUGUACUCAUAUAAAUCUAUCAGUACUUUAUCAAAUUUAUGACAUUUAUUUUAUGUUAAAAUGCAAGCAUAAUAAUUUAAAUAAACUAUAAGUCAAAAUUU